RNAcentral lists this ribosomal RNA (570 nucleotides) under uncultured Robinsoniella sp. Its description in RNAcentral is "bacterial SSU rRNA". It matches the Rfam family "Bacterial small subunit ribosomal RNA", at positions 932 to 1501 of the family's 1533-position model. The record is from RNAcentral. Lineage: Bacteria; Bacillati; Bacillota; Clostridia; Lachnospirales; Lachnospiraceae.
GUGGAGCAUGUGGUUUAAUUCGAAGCAACGCGAAGAACCUUACCUGGUCUUGACAUCCCUUUGACCGGUCAGUAAUGUGACCUUUCCUUCGGGACAGAGGAGACAGGUGGUGCAUGGUUGUCGUCAGCUCGUGUCGUGAGAUGUUGGGUUAAGUCCCGCAACGAGCGCAACCCUUAUCUUUAGUAGCCAGCAUUUUGGAUGGGCACUCUAGAGAGACUGCCAGGGAUAACCUGGAGGAAGGUGGGGAUGACGUCAAAUCAUCAUGCCCCUUAUGACCAGGGCUACACACGUGCUACAAUGGCGUAAACAAAGGGAAGCGAUCCCGUGAGGGUAAGCAAAUCUCAAAAAUAACGUCUCAGUUCGGAUUGUAGUCUGCAGCUCGACUACAUGAAGCUGGAAUCGCUAGUAAUCGCGAAUCAGCAUGUCGCGGUGAAUACGUUCCCGGGUCUUGUACACACCGCCCGUCACACCAUGGGAGUCAGUAACGCCCGAAGUCAGUGACCCAACCUAUUAGGAGGGAGCUGCCGAAGGCGGGACCGAUAACUGGGGUGAAGUCGUAACAAGGUAACC